CUACUCUACAUGUGAGCCUGUCUCGUGUCUGUGUCGUCCAGGUAAAUGUCUCCAGCCCUGCAGAAAUGGAGGGAAAUGCACUGGGAAAAACAAAUGCAAAUGUGACAAGGGUUUCCACGGUGACCUGUGUUCCAAGGCUGUCUGUGAGCCCAGCUGUGGAGCCCACGGGACCUGUGUGGAACCUAACAAGUGCCUGUGUAAGGAGGGCUGGCACGGACGCCACUGUAACAAGAGAUACAGAGGAGGUGCCCCUAACACCCAUCGUCUCUCAUCAGGCCCUAAACACAAGCCUCAGCAGCCCUCCUCCUCUGCCAAGGAGGUGAAAGACGUCCCCGAUGCCGACAUCCCAGCAGAGACCAAUUACGUGGUAUAAGAGCUGGGUCCAGACAACGACACCUGGGUUCAAGCACUAUUCAACAUCUUUCAGAUACUUUCAGCGUCUGCUCGAGUCCGAUUGGCAGUGCCUGGUGGGCGGGGCCUGGUGUGCGGGGUCUGAUGGGUUGGGUUUGAUGAGAGGGGUUUUUGAUGGGGGGAUUUUGCGGUUUUAGGACUGUGCUACUGGUCUGUUAAACCAGGCAAACUCAGUCAACAAUAUAUUAAGCAUGUUGAACUAUUUGAAGUACUAUUUGAACCCAAGUCUGCAGAUAACCCCACCAGUCCCCCAGCACCUCCUCCUCUCCUCUGUGGUAGACUACUUAUACCCAUACGUGAUGUUAUACACCAGUCCCCCAGCACCUCCUCCUCUCCUCUGUGGUAGACUACUUAUACCCAUACGUGAUGUUAUACACCAGUCCCCCAGCACCUCCUCCUCUCCUCUGUGGUAGACUACUUAUACCCAUACGUGAUGUUAUACACCAGUCCCCCAGCACCUCCUCCUCUCCUCUGUGGUAGACUACUUAUACCCAUACGUGAUGUUAUACACCAGUCCCCCAGCACCUCCUCCUCUCCUCUGUGGUAGACUACUUAUACCCAUACGUGAUGUUAUACACCAGUCCCCCAGCACCUCCUCCUCUCCUCUGUGGUAGACUACUUAUACCCAUACGUGAUAUUAUACACCAUUAUUACCACACCUACCUAUCCUCAGCCCCUCCCACUACCUAGCUACCUUAGAUAGCUAUCCUCAGCCCCUCCCACUGCCUAGCUACCUUAGAUACCUAUCCUCAGCCCCUCCCACUACCUAGAUACCUAUCCUCAUCCCCUCCCACUACCUAGAUACCUAUCCUCAUCCCCUCCCACUACCUAGAUACCUACCCCCAU
Salvelinus fontinalis (brook trout) is the source of this 1257-nucleotide long non-coding RNA. RefSeq lists it as uncharacterized. The record is from RefSeq and is a predicted model, not a curated record. The transcript is spliced from 3 exons. Lineage: Eukaryota; Metazoa; Chordata; Actinopteri; Salmoniformes; Salmonidae.